This is a long non-coding RNA of Hibiscus syriacus, 149 nucleotides long. RefSeq lists it as uncharacterized. The record is from RefSeq and is a predicted model, not a curated record. The transcript is spliced from 3 exons. NCBI's taxonomy places the organism in Eukaryota, Viridiplantae, Streptophyta, Magnoliopsida, Malvales, Malvaceae.
GUAGCUUCUGAAUAUGUUAUGUGCUGAUGGAGAACAACCAAAUCAGCACAGGACCGUCCAUAAGCACAUUACUAACAAGGAAAAUACAAGAUGAAAGAGGACGACUUUCAUGUGUAGCCACAAACUCGGAUAGCUUUUCCUUAUACAAU